AUGGCCUCGGAAGUGGUGUGCGGGCUCAUCUUCAGGCUGCUGCUGCCCAUCUGCCUGGCAGUAGCAUGUGCGUUCCGAUACAAUGGGCUCUCCUUUGUCUACCUUAUCUACCUCUUGCUCAUUCCUCUGUUCUCAGAACCAACAAAAACGACAAUGCAAGGACAUACGGGACGGUUAUUAAAGUCUCUGUGCUUCCUCAGUCUUUCCUUCCUGUUGCUGCACGUUAUCUUCCACAUCACAUUGGCGAGCCUUGAAGCUCAACAUCGUAUUGCACCUGGCUACAACUGCUCAACAUGGGAAAAGACAUUUCGGCAGAUCGGCUUUGAAAGCUUAAAGGGAGCUGAUGCUGGCAAUGGGAUCAGAGUGUUUGUACCUGACAUCGGGAUGUUCAUUGCUAGUCUGACCAUCUGGCUUCUCUGUAGAAACAUUGUUCAGAAACCUGUGACAGACGAAGCAGCACAGAGUAACCUGGAGUUUGAAAAUGAAGAAUUGGCUUUCAACAUCUGCUCAGUUCUAGCCUGAGAUUUAGUGCAAAGUCUCCAGCUUUAAAUUUUCUGGAUCCUGUUUCUUCAAGCACACAGACAUGAUCACUUGAAACCUGGAACCAUUCAGAAUGGUAAGAAGCUGAAC
Molecule: long non-coding RNA, 630 nt
Filed under: Rhinopithecus bieti (black snub-nosed monkey)
Lineage: Eukaryota; Metazoa; Chordata; Mammalia; Primates; Cercopithecidae
Description: lncRNA (ENSRBIG00000046750.1)
Source: RNAcentral